This 554-nucleotide ribosomal RNA is filed under the name uncultured bacterium. RNAcentral's name for it is "partial 16S ribosomal RNA". It matches the Rfam family "Bacterial small subunit ribosomal RNA", at positions 355 to 900 of the family's 1533-position model. The record is from RNAcentral.
UAGGGAAUCUUCCACAAUGGACGCAAGUCUGAUGGAGCAACGCCGCGUGAGUGAAGAAGGUUUUCGGACCGUAAAGCUCUGUUGUUGGUGAAGAAGGAUAGAGGUAGUAACUGGCCUUUAUUUGACGGUAAUCAACCAGAAAGUCACGGCUAACUACGUGCCAGCAGCCGCGGUAAUACGUAGGUGGCAAGCGUUGUCCGGAUUUAUUGGGCGUAAAGCGAGCGCAGGCGGAAGAAUAAGUCUGAUGUGAAAGCCCUCGGCUUAACCGAGGAAUUGCAUCGGAAACUGUUUUCUUGAGUGCAGAAGAGGAGAGUAGAACUCCAUGUGUAGCGGUGGAAUGCGUAGAUAUAUGGAAGAAUACCAGUGGCGAAGGCGGCUCUCUGGUCUGCAACUGACGCUGAGGCUCGAAUGCAUGGGUAGCGAACAGGAUUAGAUACCCUGGUAGUCCAUGCCGUAAACGAUGAGUGCUAAGUGUUGGGAGGCUUCCGCCUCUCAGUGCUGCAGCUAACGCAUUAAGCACUCCGCCUGGGGGAGUACGACCGCAAGGUUGAAAC